Molecule: ribosomal RNA, 964 nt
Filed under: Pseudoalteromonas arctica
Lineage: Bacteria; Pseudomonadati; Pseudomonadota; Gammaproteobacteria; Alteromonadales; Pseudoalteromonadaceae
Description: bacterial SSU rRNA
Rfam family: Bacterial small subunit ribosomal RNA
Source: RNAcentral
UGCAAGUCGAGCGGUAACAGAAAGUAGCUUGCUACAUUUGCUGACGAGCGGCGGACGGGUGAGUAAUGCUUGGGAACAUGCCUUGAGGUGGGGGACAACAGUUGGAAACGACUGCUAAUACCGCAUAAUGUCUACGGACCAAAGGGGGCUUCGGCUCUCGCCUUUAGAUUGGCCCAAGUGGGAUUAGCUAGUUGGUGAGGUAAUGGCUCACCAAGGCGACGAUCCCUAGCUGGUUUGAGAGGAUGAUCAGCCACACUGGGACUGAGACACGGCCCAGACUCCUACGGGAGGCAGCAGUGGGGAAUAUUGCACAAUGGGCGCAAGCCUGAUGCAGCCAUGCCGCGUGUGUGAAGAAGGCCUUCGGGUUGUAAAGCACUUUCAGUCAGGAGGAAAGGGUGGUGGUUAAUACCCAUCAUCUGUGACGUUACUGACAGAAGAAGCACCGGCUAACUCCGUGCCAGCAGCCGCGGUAAUACGGAGGGUGCGAGCGUUAAUCGGAAUUACUGGGCGUAAAGCGUACGCAGGCGGUUUGUUAAGCGAGAUGUGAAAGCCCCGGGCUCAACCUGGGAACUGCAUUUCGAACUGGCAAACUAGAGUGUGAUAGAGGGUGGUAGAAUUUCAGGUGUAGCGGUGAAAUGCGUAGAGAUCUGAAGGAAUACCGAUGGCGAAGGCAGCCACCUGGGUCAACACUGACGCUCAUGUACGAAAGCGUGGGGAGCAAACGGGAUUAGAUACCCCGGUAGUCCACGCCGUAAACGAUGUCUACUAGAAGCUCGGAGCCUCGGUUCUGUUUUUCAAAGCUAACGCAUUAAGUAGACCGCCUGGGGGAGUACGGCCGCAAGGUUAAAACUCAAAUGAAUUGACGGGGGCCCGCACAAGCGGUGGAGCAUGUGGUUUAAUUCGAUGCAACGCGAAGAACCUUACCUACACUUGACAUACAGAGAACUUACCAGAGAUGGUUUGG